This 480-nucleotide ribosomal RNA is filed under the name uncultured bacterium. Its description in RNAcentral is "bacterial SSU rRNA". It matches the Rfam family "Bacterial small subunit ribosomal RNA", at positions 1 to 526 of the family's 1533-position model. The record is from RNAcentral.
GGGCCCGACGUUUGAUCCUGGCUCAGAACGAACGCUGGCGGCAGGCCUCAAACAUGCAAGUCUAGGGGGUGUAGCAAUACAUCACCGGCGGACGGGUGCGUAACACGUGGGAAUAUACCUUUCGGUACGGAACAACUGAGGGAAACUUCAGCUAAUACCGUAUACGUCCUAACGGAGAAAGAUUUAUCGCCGAAGGAUUAGCCCGCGCUCGAUUAGCUAGUUGGUGAGGUAAUGGCUCACCAAGGCUACGAUCGAUAGCUGUUCUGAGAGGAAGAUCAGCCACACUGGGACUGAGACACGGCCCAGACUCCUACGGGAGGCAGCAGUUGGGAAUCUUGGACAAUGGGGGAAACCCUGAUCCAGCCAUGCCGCGUGAGUGAUGAAGGCCUUCGGGUUGUAAAGCUCUUUUACCCGGGAAGAUAAUGACUGUACCGGGAGAAUAAGCUCCGGCUAACUUCGUGCCAGCAGCCGCGGUAAUAA